AAUGGUUUCUCACCAUUUGUGCAGAGUUCAGAGCCUCCAUGGGUUUGUGUGUUUCAUGGCUGAGUCUACGCUUGGUAGCAGUAGGUUCAAUGGAUCUGAUUUCUGGGCAGUAUGAAGGGGUAGACCCUAUCUUUUAUUUCUCUGGCAGAUUGAGCUCCCUCCCUGCCCAUGUGUGACUAAUAUGGGAACUCUGGGUCCUAAGGCUAGCAGUCUAAUCCCAUAAUAUAGCCAACUAACCACUCAUUCAUUCUAAAAACCUUGAAACAUUGAAAGAGCACCUAUGAAUGCUAGGGACAGUUCUAAACACUAGGGAGAGAGAGUGAAAAAACCGGCAAAAGAGGACCUGCCCUCACAGAAAUUCCAUUUUAGAGUGUGUGUGUAUGUGUGGGUGGGUAACACUAGGAACAAAGUAAAUGAGUAAAUUUAUUUUAUUUGGUGUGAUAAAAGAAGAGAAUGCUAUGAAGAAAUAAAUUAGUGAAGGAGAUGAGGAAAAUAAGGACGAGAGAGAUUAAAUGUUCUACUGGGAUUAAAAAAGAAGAUUAUGAAAGUCUCCCAUAUCUGAGACCAUGUCCCUCAAUGUUUUCUGGUUCAUUCUUCCGUCUAAAGUGCAAUAGGAAAAAGGAAUUUCCUCAAUUAUAACAUGUUGCUGGUAUUAUGGAGCCAUUUUUCAGUGUAACCUGCAUGUUGGGGAUACAGUUUUUAUUUUCAGUGAGAUCGUUUCUUCUGAGAGCACACCUACUCCUGCUUCCCGCCAAGCUGGCCACACUGUCAGACAUCGCCUAGUGGAAUAUUGGAGUGGAUAGCAGUGUAUGACCUCUUUGACUUUCUGCUCCGUGGCCCGACACCUCCACGAUUCGGCUGUGUGCCAGGCUCCAGGAUCACUCCCUCACACAUCUUGGGAAUCCAACCCAGAUGGCAACACGAUGUUCCACGAUAAAACUGACACAAAAAACAAUGCAAAAUUUGUCUAAGAGAGGUUCAGCAAGCAUGAGAAAAACAUCUGAUAUCUCUCAGAGCCCGCCAAGUUCGCAGCUUACAGUGCCAGAGUAAUUAUGGGAUGAUUUGAACAGAGGCAAUGCAUGGGGAAGCCACUUCCAAAUGUAUCAGAAAAUGGAAAUAUGGGAGUACUAGUCACCAAGUACAACUAUUGUGAGGAUCCAGUCAAUUGACAGAGGCAAAAGACUGUUGUAAGUUGUAAAGAAUGGCACAACCAUUAAACAUUAAUAUGGUAUCAAGGAC
Long non-coding RNA from Equus caballus (horse), 1239 nucleotides. RefSeq lists it as uncharacterized. The record is from RefSeq and is a predicted model, not a curated record. Lineage: Eukaryota; Metazoa; Chordata; Mammalia; Perissodactyla; Equidae.